GUCUUCUUCACUGGGGCUCUCUGCUACCGCUCCUUUUCCUGUCCUGGAUGGGGAAGACAGAGAGAGAGAUGGAGGAUGCCCUGCGGGAGACGCCACAGUAAAAAUACCGGACUGUCCGCAACGUAACGUCGCCCUGAAUCGCUGCGGCCAGUCGAACACAGAACAAAUGAGCACACACUCCUGGCAAUUUUCGCGAAUGGCGUGUGUCACCGCCGAGACAGAGGACAAAAUGAAUGCUGCUGGGACAAUUACUGAGGAGCCACGACCAUCCUAAUUUAUUCCACUUCAAAUUUUCCAUGAGCAGCUGACCAGUAAACUGCAGUAACAAGAUCAUCUAUCCAUCGAUCUUCUAUCCUCAUGCUUCCCCCUGCUGGCCAAGAUUUGUCAUUACAAUUGAUAAGUUUGAAGUAAACCUGUAUCAGAGCCGUGUUUAAAAAUGAACGUUAUUGAAAUAUUUAGAAUCUUAAAUAAUCACACACACACUAACCCCUAAUUCUCAUUCUUUCUGCAAAAUUUAUUUUAAUAAAAUACACCAUACACCUAUCAGCCACAUUGAGAGGAAAUUGAGGAGAAAUUGACCUUUAAUAAUUAAAUGUUCUGCUGGGAAACGUUUGGACCUGGCAUUCAUGCUGAUGUUACCAGAUGUUUAUCACUCACCUAGACCAGACCAGACACCCCCACCAGCAAUGACACUUCUUGAUGGCAGCAGACAUACUCAGCAGGAUGCAGCCUGA
Mugil cephalus (flathead mullet) is the source of this 734-nucleotide long non-coding RNA. RefSeq lists it as uncharacterized. The record is from RefSeq and is a predicted model, not a curated record. Lineage: Eukaryota; Metazoa; Chordata; Actinopteri; Mugiliformes; Mugilidae. The transcript has 3 exons.